CACGUAGGCUGCUUUGUAAGUCAGGGGUGAAAUCCAACGGCUCAACCGUGGAACUGCCUUUGAUACUGCUUAGCUUGAAUCCGGGAGAGGGUGGCGGAAUUCCAGGUGUAGGAGUGAAAUCCGUAGAUAUCUGGAGGAACAUCAGUGGCGAAGGCGGCCACCUGGACCGGUAUUGACGCUGAGGUGCGAAAGCGUGGGGAGCAAACA
Molecule: ribosomal RNA, 207 nt
Filed under: uncultured bacterium
Lineage: Bacteria
Description: partial 16S ribosomal RNA
Rfam family: Bacterial small subunit ribosomal RNA
Source: RNAcentral